AAACUUAAGAAAUGAACGAAGCUCACUAAUAAACACGUUUGAAAGGAGGCACUGGUUUAACUUCAUUCUCAUCCAUAGUGGUUCUGGUGACAGCGCGAUACUUCAAGGUGACAGGGUCGCCUGUUUUGUGUUGCCAAGUCAAUGUAUGCUUGAUCCAAUUCUUGUCAUCACGCUCAGGAUAGUCUUCACGAGCAUGGGCACCGCGAGAUUCUUUGCGGUUGAGAGCUGCAUUAGCAGUUUGCACAGCACAAGUUAAAAGGUUACGUAAUUCAAGGGCUUCAACAAGAUCGGUGUUCCAGAUUAAACCACGGUCCCUGAUUCCAAUAUCCUUGUAAGUGCCGUCAACACGAGCAAUGUUCUUAACACCUUCUUGAAGAGUUUCUUCCAUACGGAAAACUGAGACAUCACGUUGCAUCGUCUUUUGCAUAUCCAAACGAAUUUCACUGGUAUGUUUAGGGCCUUGCGAAGUGCGAAUUUGGUCCAAAAAUUUUAGAGAAUCCAAUCCGGCAUCAGCUGCAAGCGGUUUAUGAGGGGUAUUGGGUUCAAGCGUAUCCUUAAUAUGUAAAGCACAGGCACGUCCAAAAACAACAAUGUCCAGAAGAGAGUUGGCACCAAGACGGUUACCUCCAUGGACAGAUACACAAGCAGCUUCACCAGCAGCAUACAAUCCAGGAACAAUCUUAUCCUUCCCAUUUUCGUCAAUAGUGAGGACUUCACCGGUGAAACGGGUAGGAAUACCACCCAUAUUGUAGUGAACUGUAGGUAAAACGGGGAUAGGCUCUUUAGUAACAUCUACACCAGCAAAGAUAGCAGCAGUUUCGGAAAUGCCAGGAAGACGCUCUUUCAAAAUUUCAGCGGGGAGGUGAGAAAGCUGCAAAUAACAAUGAUCCUUUUCAGGGCCAACACCACGGCCUUCACGAAUUUCAACAGUCAUAGCACGAGAAACGACAUCACGAGAAGCCAAAUCCUUAGCGGUAGGAGCAUAGCGUUCCAUAAAACGCUCACCCUUGCUGUUCAAAAGAUAACCACCUUCACCACGGCAACCUUCAGUAAUUAAACAACCAGCACCAUAGAUACCAGUAGGGUGAAAUUGAACAAACUCGAGAUCUUGUAGAGGAAGUCCAGCACGAGAAACCAUGGCAUUACCAUCACCAGUACAGGUAUGAGCUGAGGUGCAAGAGAAAUAGGCACGUCCAUAACCACCAGUAGCCAAAAUAGUCUUGUGAGCACGGAAUCUGUGAAUACUACCGUCUUCCAAAUUCAUAGCAAUGACACCACGACAUUCACCACCUUCCAU
Schizosaccharomyces pombe (fission yeast) is the source of this 1297-nucleotide non-coding RNA. Lineage: Eukaryota; Fungi; Ascomycota; Schizosaccharomycetes; Schizosaccharomycetales; Schizosaccharomycetaceae. The record is from the annotation of a GenBank genome assembly.